UGGGGAAUUUUGGACAAUGGGCGCAAGCCUGAUCCAGCAAUGCCGCGUGCAGGAUGAAGGCCUUCGGGUUGUAAACUGCUUUUGUACGGAACGAAAAAGCUCUCUCUAAUACAGGGGGUGAAUGACGGUACCGUAAGAAUAAGCACCGGCUAACUACGUGCCAGCAGCCGCGGUAAUACGUAGGGUGCAAGCGUUAAUCGGAAUUACUGGGCGUAAAGCGUGCGCAGGCGGUUUUGUAAGACAGAGGUGAAAUCCCCGGGCUCAACCUGGGAACUGCCUUUGGGACUGCAAAGCUGGAGUGCGGCAGAGGGGGAUGGAAUUCCGCGUGUAGCAGUGAAAUGCGUAGAUAUGCGGAGGAACACCGAUGGCGAAGGCAAUCCCCUGGGCCUGCACUGACGCUCAUGCACGAAAGCGUGGGG
This 419-nucleotide ribosomal RNA is filed under the name uncultured bacterium. RNAcentral describes it as "bacterial SSU rRNA". It matches the Rfam family "Bacterial small subunit ribosomal RNA", at positions 355 to 766 of the family's 1533-position model. The record is from RNAcentral.